AAACAGGCUCCAGGCUCCGAGCCAUCAGCCCAGAGCCUGACGUGGGGCUCGAACUCAUGGACCGCGAGAUCGUGACCUGGCUGAAGUCGGACGCUUAACCGACUGUGCCACCCAGGCGCCCCGCCAUCCGGUUUUCUUUAGCUCAGGUGCCUAUGAGUCCGGGGGAGCCCCCAAGGUUGGGGUGCUGAGUGGACAGUACCUCAGAAGGUCACACUGAACCAUGCCCUCUGGACUGUAGGGCACCUGCCUUCCAUAUCCUUCCUUAAGGGUUUCCAUCCCCCCAGAUCAGUGCAGAUACAGCAUAUAAUGCCUGCACCACCUCUGCCACUACUCCUAUCACUACUGCUGAUACGGGCUUGAUUGUGUCUCCCAACCUCUAGUACCACAGAAUAUGACUGUAUUUGGGAAGAGGAUCUUAAAGAGGUAAUCCAGUUAAAAUGAGGUCAUUGGGAUGGGGCCUGGUCCAAUGUGCUGGUGUCCUUACAAAAGGAAGAGACUAGGACAUCAGAGAAAGACCAUGUAACAACACAGGGAGAAGACAGCCAGCUACAAGGUGAGGAGAGGGGCCUCAGAAGAAAAUAACGCUGCCAAUACUUUGAUCUCAGACUAAGGGCCUCAAAAGCUAUGACAAAAUAAAUUCCUGCUGUUUAAGCCACCAGUCUGUGCCACUUUGUUAGGGCAGUCCCCAGAAAUAAAUACACCUGCCAACUAUGGCCAAGAUAGGGGCAGGGGACUUUUGAAAGAUGUAGAGGAAGAAGGGCAGAGAAACCCACAGGGAGAAAGGAGAGGAAAAGAGGUGGGUUACGUGGACCCUGGGGUGAGCAUGGUAAGGGAACCUUAAUGAAAUGGAAAUCUGGGCCCUGCUUUCCAGGUCGAAUGAAUGGUGAUGCUGACCAGAAACCCAAGAGAAGGUCCUUAGAAGCCAGAGGUCAGGGUUGAGGCACUGAGGCUGAGAAAGUAUGUGAGAAGAGAUGGGAAGAAAGGAUGGCGGGUACCCUCCAGCUGUGAAGAUGAGGGGAGCAGCUGGCCCAUGGGAACCAGAUUAUAUGCUCCCUGAGGGCCAGGAUUGGGCUUUGCUCUCUGGCCAGAGGAAGUGCUUAACGGAGCACCCAGGCCUCCUGGAGGAAUGACUAGAACUGGACCUGACCUGCCUGUGGGAUUUGAG
Molecule: long non-coding RNA, 1165 nt
Organism: Prionailurus viverrinus (fishing cat)
Lineage: Eukaryota; Metazoa; Chordata; Mammalia; Carnivora; Felidae
Exons: 3
Source: RefSeq, a predicted model, not a curated record